RNAcentral lists this ribosomal RNA (779 nucleotides) under uncultured bacterium. RNAcentral describes it as "bacterial SSU rRNA". It matches the Rfam family "Bacterial small subunit ribosomal RNA", at positions 84 to 880 of the family's 1533-position model. The record is from RNAcentral.
UGUAUGGAUUAGUGGCGGACGGGUGAGUAACGCGUGGAUAACCUGCCGUAUACAGGGGGAUAACACUUAGAAAUAGGUGCUAAUACCGCAUAAGCGCACGGUUCCGCAUGGAACAGUGUGAAAAACUCCGGUGGUAUACGAUGGAUCCGCGUCUGAUUAGCCAGUUGGCGGGGUAACGGCCCACCAAAGCGACGAUCAGUAGCCGGCCUGAGAGGGUGAACGGCCACAUUGGGACUGAGACACGGCCCAAACUCCUACGGGAGGCAGCAGUGGGGAAUAUUGCACAAUGGGGGAAACCCUGAUGCAGCGACGCCGCGUGAGUGAAGAAGUAUUUCGGUACGUAAAGCUCUAUCAGCAGGGAAGAAAAUGACGGUACCUGACUAAGAAGCCCCGGCUAACUACGUGCCAGCAGCCGCGGUAAUACGUAGGGGGCAAGCGUUAUCCGGAUUUACUGGGUGUAAAGGGAGCGUAGACGGCAGCGCAAGUCUGGAGUGAAAUGCCGGGGCCCAACCCCGGAACUGCUUUGGAAACUGUGCAGCUCGAGUGCAGGAGAGGUAAGCGGAAUUCCUAGUGUAGCGGUGAAAUGCGUAGAUAUUAGGAGGAACACCAGUGGCGAAGGCGGCUUACUGGACUGUAACUGACGUUGAGGCUCGAAAGCGUGGGGAGCAAACAGGAUUAGAUACCCUGGUAGUCCACGCCGUAAACGAUGAUUACUAGGUGUCGGGGGGCCAAGGCCCUCCGGUGCCGCCGCAAACGCAUUAAGUAAUCCACCUGGGGAG